Molecule: long non-coding RNA, 294 nt
Filed under: Elaeis guineensis (African oil palm)
Lineage: Eukaryota; Viridiplantae; Streptophyta; Magnoliopsida; Arecales; Arecaceae
Description: long non-coding RNA (EGUI_LNC001956)
Source: RNAcentral
UCUCUCUGAUCUUCUCCACAUCCUAGCAGCAAGAAAUCCUAGGUUUUCUUGGCCGCCCACCUCCAAAGGGAAAGAAAGGAGGUGCUAGGGUUUCUAGCACCCUCCUAGUGAAUGACCCCCUUUUUGUGAGCCCCCUCUUGACCGCCCAAGAGGAGUUCUAUGCCUCAUCUUUUAUUUUUGGAGGAUUUAUCAAGGAUACUUCCAAAUCCCAAAAGGUGGGUUUCAGAUCUGAUGGAGAAGGGGUUCAAAUCGUAGAAAGAAAUCCUGCCGACAGGAUUUACAAGGUUGCUGAAA